UAUUAGAUUGGUGCAAAAGUAAUUGCGGUUUUUGCCACAAUUACAUUAAAAGUAAUGGCAAAAACAGCAAUUAUUUUUGCACCAACCUAAUAUCU
This 95-nucleotide microRNA precursor is filed under the name Chlorocebus sabaeus (green monkey). RNAcentral describes it as "miRNA (ENSCSAG00000025749.1)". The record is from RNAcentral. Lineage: Eukaryota; Metazoa; Chordata; Mammalia; Primates; Cercopithecidae.